Molecule: unclassified non-coding RNA, 8628 nt
Filed under: Hevea brasiliensis (rubber tree)
Lineage: Eukaryota; Viridiplantae; Streptophyta; Magnoliopsida; Malpighiales; Euphorbiaceae
Source: RNAcentral
GAGAGAGAGAGAGAGAGAGAGAAAUAGAGAAAGAGAGUGAAUUGUUGUAUUAUUGAUCAGAUUAUCUCUAAUCCAAGAUUUGUACAGUAUUUAUGCUUGCUAGUACAUUGAGUUUAUGGUUGUAACAAGUGCUAACUUCAGUAACAAAUUACAAACAAACUCCUUAACUGUUCCCUCCUAAAAUACAACUCAGCAAGGAUCCUCUUGACUUGUUGACUUCUCCCUCUUCUUGAGUUACUGUCACAACAUUACCUCCCUCCGCAACAGCAUUCUUGUCCUCAAGAAUGAUCUGUGGAAAUUGUUGUGAAAUAAAAUUCUAUUCCCCCCAAGUUGAUUCUUGAAUUAACAAGGUAUUCCAUUGCACCAACACUUGCUCCACAUCUUUGCCAUCCUUUUGAAUAGUCCUCUUAUUCAAAAUUGCCACAGGACCCUUCCAUAGCCCCUGUUUGUUGAACUUAGGUAAGGAACUAUGAAGAAAUUGAUCUGCUCCCACCUUCUUCUUCAAUAGUGACACAUGAAAAACAUCAUGUAUGGAGGAAUCCGCAGGUAAUUUCAAUUUAUAAGCAACUGAUCCAAUUCUUUGCAAAACUAAAAAUGGACCAUAAUACUUGGCAGACAAUUUCACACAUUUCCUAACUGCCAUUAAUAGUUGUUUAUAAGGUUGCAACUUCAGAAACACCCAAUCCCCAACAUUAAACUCUCUCUCAGUUCUCUUCAAAUCGACAUACUGUUUCAUUCGAUUUUGAGCAAUCAAUAAAUUUUCUCUCAACACAUCUGCCAAUUGUUGUUUCUCUACUAGUAAAUCCUCCACUUUAGCUACUAAAAUUGCAGCAGGUUCUGCUAUAUUAAAAAUGGGUGGUGGAUAUCCGUAUAAGGCCUGGAAAGGAGACAUUUUAAUGCUAGAAUGAAAGCUAGAAUUGUACCACCAUUCAGCUAAACUUAGCCAUGAACUCCAUUUAUAAGGAUGCUGGAAAGUCAUGCAUCUAAGAUAAUUUUCCAAGCAUCUAUUGAGUCUUUCAGUCUGGCCAUCUGACUGAGGAUGGUAGGCUGUACUCAUGUGCAAUUUAGUUCCCAAAGCCUUAAACAAUUGUUGCCAGAAAAGACUGGUGAAGACCUUAUCUCUAUCACUCACCAUGCUUGUAGGAACCCCAUGCAACUUGAAAAUGUUAUCCAAGAAUAUCUUGGCUAUUUUCUCAGCUGAAUAAGGAUGUGCAAGGGCUAUAAAGUGAGCAACUUUAGUGAACCUGUCAACAACCACCAUGAUAACAUCUUUACCUUCAGAUUUAGGCAACUGAUCUAUAAAAUCCAUAGAAAUACAUGACCAUGCAUGAGAUGGGAUGGAUAGUGGCUGCAAUAACCCAGGGUAGGGCAAUGAUUCACCUUUGCAUCGUUGACAUAUGUCACAACUCAUAAUCCAUCUCUCCACCUGCUGCAACAUUUUAGGCCAAUAGAACAAUUGAGACAACCUGUGAUAAGUCACCUUGAUACUUGAAUGUCCCCCAACUGGAGAAUCAUGAGCAGCAGAAAUAAGUCUCUGUUGGAGAUCAAAAGAGUCACCGAUAUAUACCCUGCCCUUGUAUCGUAACAACCCUGCUUUAUAUUGAUAAUGUGGCUUAGAAUGAGGAUCUAUUGUAAGUGCAGUAAUAAGGGCUUGAGCCAAUUGAUCACCCACAUAACUAUUAUUGACUUCUUGCUGCCACACUGGCACCACAGCAGAAAUGGCUUGCAAUUCUCCCUGCUGAUCAGUCAAGGCAUAUCUAGAUAAGGCAUCAACAGCCUUGUUUUCAUGCCCAGACCUGUAAUUGAUUGAAUAAUCCAAUCCCAGCAACUUCAUUAUGCCUUUUUGCUGCACAUAAGUAUGAAGCCUUUGCUGCAACAAAAACUUAAGACUCUCAUGGUCAGUGUUAAUAAUAAAGUGAGCAUUUUCCAAAUAAUGUCUCCAUUUAGUCACUGCCACAAUUACAGCUAAGAGUUCUUUCUCAUAUAUGGAUAACCCUUGGUUUUUUACUCCCAAGGACUUGCUCAAAUAUGCAAUUGGACUCCCAUUUUGCAUUAAAACUGCUCCCAACCCUAUAUGACUAGCAUCAGUCUCCAAAACAAAUGGUUGGGUGAAAUUAGGCAAUGCCAAAACUGGGGCAGAAGACAUCAGUUGCUUCAAUUCAUUAAAAGCUCCCUCAACUUCUUCAUUCCAACAAAAAGAAUUUUUCUUCAAUAAAUUUGUCAAUGGUUUAGUAACAACCCCAUAACCUUUGACAAAUUUUCUAUAAUAUCCUAUAAGACCCCAAAAACUCCUCAAGGACUUCAAUGAGGUAGGCCUAGGCCAUUUAAUCAUAGCUUCAAUCUUUUUAGGGUCAGUAUGCACCCCUGCCCCACUGAUAAUAUGUCCUAAAUACUCUACUUCCCUUACUGCAAAAGAGCAUUUAGAUUUCUUGGCAAAGAGUUGUUGUUGUCUCAGUAUGUCAAAAACUAAGGAAAGAUGUUCCAAAUGAUCUUGAAAUGAUUUACUAUAGACAAGUAUAUCAUCAAAGAAAACCAAAACAAAUUUCCUUAGAAAAGGAUGAAAAAUAUGAUUCAUGAGAGCUUGGAAGGUUGCUGGUGCAUUUGUAAGACCAAAUGGCAUAACAUUGAACUCAAAAUGGCCAUGAUGUGUCCUAAAGGCAGUCUUGGGAAUAUCAGCAGGCUCCAUUCUGAUUUGAUGGUAACCAGCUCUCAAAUCUAUUUUAGAAAACACAGCAGCCCCAUGUAACUCAUCAAGUAAGUCAUCAAUCAUAGGUAUUGGAAACUUAUCCUUGAUUGUGAGAUCAUUUAACUUCCUAUAAUCAACACAAAACCUCCAAGUACCAUCCUUUUUCUUAACCAACAACACAGGUGAAGAAUAUGAACUAGUACUAGGCUGAAUAACAUCAUUAGCCAACAUUUCAGAUACCAACUUCUCUAUUUCUGCCUUUUGGAAAUGUGGAUACCUAUAAGGUCUCACACUAAUAGGUUGUGUAUUUGGCUGCAAUGGUAUGGAGUGAUUAUGGUUUCUAAAAGGAGGCAAUGUCUUAGGCUCCUCAAACAGAUCUUUAUAGUCAUCAAGUAAUCCUUGAAUUUCAUUAUAAUCUGUAGAAGAAUUACCUGAAAUUGCAGCUGUCACAGAAAAGAGCUCAGGUAACUCAGAAUGCUCUGCUGGUUGUGGUUGCAUUAGUGGCACUUCAAUAUAAAAUUGAGGGCUUUGGAAAUCCUUCCCCUUCCUCUGCCACAUCUUAUUAAUGUCUUCACAUUGCAACAUCUUACAAGUAACAGCUUUAUCAUUGAUCCCAUACAAUGUGAUCUCCUUCCCAUUCUUCUUGAAAGUGACUCUAGAGUUUACAAAGUCAAAUAAAACUGGACUAAUAGUCCUCAUCCAAUCUACUCCCAAUAUAAUAUCAAAACUCCCCAGCUCCAACAAUUUGAGAUCAAACACAAAUCUAUGCUUUCCCACCUUCCAAGGAAAUUCAAAACAAGUGCAAUUUGAAAUUAAUUUUCUGCCAUCAGCUACAGAAAUAGGUACUGCAGAAGUUUGGACUAUAGGUAGCUUUAAUUCCCUAGCCACUCUAGCAUCAAUAAAGUUAUGGGUGCUACCACUGUCAAUUAAAAUCAGCAGCUCUCUAUUCAAAUACUGACCUUUCACCUUAAUAGUUUCAGUCCCCAACUUCCCUUCAAUGGCAUUAAGGGAAAGUGUCAUCUCCUCCUCCAUACUACCCAACACAUCUUCCCAUUGCUGAACUUCAAUGUUGCCUUCCCUUUCAAUCUCCUCAUUUCCUUGCUCAAUCCAUUCCUCCCUACUUGAAUCACUCCCACAUAAAGCCAUAACAGUCUUUUGCUUGCACACAUGCCCUGGAAAAUAUUUUUCUCCACAUCUAUAACAAGGUUUGGGCUGUCUCACAUUUGUUUGGUUGUUAGGUUUUGUGGAUAUAGGUGUUUUAGAGGCUUGAGAAUUGGCUGCAUUGCUGGAAGUGACAGACUGAGAUUGUUUUGGAUUAGAGACUGUGAAAUUAGGUUUAGCUUCAUUGUUUGGGGGUUUUGUCAAUUGAGGAUAAUUCUGAUGUAAUUGAGAGGUUCUAAAGGAAGGGUUAUAAGUUGAAGUUUGAGAUCUGAAAUUACCAGCAUAGGAUCUUGAGGGAUAAGUGGACUUCUUGUUGCUUUCUAGUAACUGUUCUUGAAAUUUUGCAAUCUCAAAUGCAUGAGAAGGGGAUGCAGGCCUGACAAUCCUUACCAUAGGACGGAUUUCAUCCCUUAAUCCUCCUAUGAAGGCUGACAGAAAAUAUCCCUCUUCAAGAUAAGGCAUAACCCUCUCCAUCUUUAUCCUCAUCUCCUCAAAUUUAUCCUGAUACUCCAUUACAUUCCCAAUCUGCCUUGUCUUCAUAAAUUCCUCCACAACAUCUUCCAUUCCUUCUUCCCCAAAUCUAGCACAUAAUGCCCUCUCAAAUUCAUCCCACAGCAUUUCACUUUUCCCUUUACUCCAAUUCUGAAACCAAGAAUCUCCCUUAUCAAUCAAGAAGAGACUAGCAAUUCCCACACGUUGCUCCUUAGGAACCUUGUAAAUCUCAAAAUACUUUUCACACUUUCUAAGCCAAACCCUAGGCUCACUAUCAUCACAGGUCACCAACUCAAUCUUGGGCAAAAUUCUUGGAUUAUCAUCAGUGUUUACUGCAAAGGAUGUACUGAAUUGAUCCUUAGCAGUUUUCUUGGGAGGAUUGGGCAGGAUCCCCUUACUUCCCUGUCCUUCAUGUUCACUAUUCACCUCAACUUCCUUAUUCCUUUCAUUAAAGAACCCACACAUCAUUUUUUUCAUCUCAUCCAUUAUUUUUUUUCCCAUAUCAUCUAAUUUCUGCUCCAUUUUCUCCAUUUUCAGAUCCAGCUUCCUCUCGGCAGUUUCUUGCCAAUUGCGCACCUUUUCCUCCAGCUCUUCAAUUCUAACAGUUUCUUGAUUCACCACUUGACUUCUAGGCAUCUCUUGACACCCCUGAUACUGAUCUGGAUCAAAGCCCCCCCAGGAACCAGGCUCUGAUACCAAUUUGUCAGUAGUUACCUAGAAUUAAGGGUUUCUACUGACUACAGAGAGUUUAGAAGAAUAUAGACAGAAAGGAGGAAGAAGAAAGAGAGAGAGAGAGAUAGGGACGAGAAUUAGAAUAAGAGAGAGAAGAAAUUUAGAGAGAAAGAAGUCUGAGAUUUUAUUGAUUUCAGAAUGAAUCUCAAUUACAUGAAUGACAGCUAUUUAUAGUAUUACUUGAUAACUGUCAUUGACUAAUUUCAACAGCUAUAACAACUUCUCAACAAACUAACAGUUUUUUUCCCUCCAAAACAACUACUCUUCUUUUCUAUUUCUAAACUUUCUCCUCCUAUACGUGACAAUUUCCCUCCCUUUAGAACCUUCUUGACCCCAAGAAGGUUUAAAUGAUGGAAACUGAGCUUGCAAAAAUGACUGGUCCUCCCAAGUUGCAUCUUCUUCACUGAAAUGCAGCCAUUUAACUAAGCCCUGCAAAAUUGGAAUCCCAUUUCUUUCAAUAGUUCUAAUAUGCAACAGCUUCUCUGGAUGCACUUCCCAAGUAUGAUCUUCUUGUAAAGCUGGAAGGUCCAAGAUUGGAGUGAUAUUGUCCCCUACCUUCCUUUUCAACAAGGAAACAUGAAAAACUGGAUGAACAGUAGAGGAAGGAGGUAUUGCAGUUUAUAAGCCACUGCACCCACUUUAGCGACUAUCUGAAAUGGCCCAUAACACCUUGCUGAUAACUUGAGUGACCUUCUAACUGCAAUAGAAACUUGUCUGUAGGGCUGCAACCUCAAAUAUACCCAAUCUCCAACCUGGAACUCUUUUUCUGCUCUUUUCUUAUCUGCUUGCUGUUUCAUUCUAUGCUGGGCCUUAGUUAAAUUCUCUUGUAUAAUUUCUGUCAUAUGUUGUCUCUCCCGAAGUAAAUUAGUAACAGCCUGGACAGGAGUGGAAUCAGGAAAGGGAAAAUGAAUUUCAGGAGGGUGAUAGCCAUAUAAAGCUUCAAAGGGACUCAUCUUGAGGCUGCUAUGGUGAGUACUGUUAUACCACCACUCAGCUAAUGGUAACCAUUUGUUCCAAGCAGCAGGCAAAUGAUGUGUCAUACACCUCAAAUAACAUUCUAAACAUUGAUUUAACCUCUCAGUCUGCCCAUCAGAUUGAGGAUGAUAGGCAGUAGUGUAAUGCAAUGAAGUCCCAGACAACUUGAAUAACUCUUUCCAAAAGAGACUUGUGAAAACUUUGUCCCUAUCGGAUACAAUGGAAAGAGGCAGUCCAUGAAGCUUGUAAAUGUGACUGAGAAACACUUUAGCAAUAGAAGCAGCAGUGUAUGGAUGAGAGACAGCCAAGAAAUGCCCAUACUUAGUCAUUCUACACACAAUUACCAAAAUAACAUCCUUGCCUUCAGACCUAGGCAAUUGCUCAAUAAAAUCCAUUGAAAUAUGCUGCCAAGCCUGAGUUGGUGCAGGUUAGAGGUUGUAACAGUCCAGAGGUGGCACAGUGUUCUCCCUUACACCUAGCACAAGUAUCACAUUGUUUAAUCCACCCCAAAACAUCCUUCAACAUACCAGGCCAAAAGAAGUGUUUUUUUAACCUCAAAUAAGUCACAUUCACCCCGGAAUGCCCCCCCAAAGGACCGUCAUGGUACAAAGCAAUCAAGUACUGCCUCAAAUCAGUGGAACUACCCACAUAUAGUCUGUUAUGAUAAUAAAGAAACUCUUGCUUCAAUUAAUAGCCAUUUACAGCUGAAUUAUGCAAAGAGAGUUGUUGUAUUAUAGUAGUAGCUUUGGAGUCUCCAUCAUAGCUAUGAAUAAGGUUGGUCAUCCAAGUAGGAAGGUUGGCAGAUUGAAGUGGACAACAGGAAAUAGUAGCAGUCCUAUUAGGUCUCCUGAAAAGGGCAUCAGCAGCUUUGUUUUCCACACCCUUUCUGUAAAUAAUUUUGUAAUCAAGUCCCAAGAGCUUGGAAAUUCCCCUUUGCUGCAACUUAGUGUGUAGCCUCUGCUCAAGCAAAUAUUUAAUACUCUCAUGAUCUGUUUUAAUGAAAAACUGACCUUGCUCUAAGUGAUGCCGCCACUUUAUGACUGCAAAAGUGAUGGCUAACAACUCCCUCUCAUACACAGACAACGCCUUGCUUCUAGGCCUAAAAGCUUUAGAAAUGUAGGCCAAAGGAUGACCUUGUUGCUGUAGUACAACCCCCAUUCCCCAACUACUUGUAUCAGUUUCAAUGACAAAUGGUAAACUAAAAUCUAGUAAUGCCAAAACUAGAGCUUCUGCCAUGGCCCUUCGCAAAGUCUCAAAAGCUUCCUGGGCUGCAUCACUCCACUGAAAAGAGUCUUUUUUAAGCAAGUCAGUUAAUGGUUUACUGAUUAUACUAUACCCUCUCACAAACUUUCUGUAGUAUCCAGUCAAACUCAAGAAACUCCUCAAUUCCUUCACAGAAACUGGAACAGGCCACUGUAAAAUAGCUUGCACUUUCUUAGGAUCAAUAGAAACACCUGCUGCAGUAAUAAUAUGGCCCAAAUUCUCUACUUCUGUCUGCCCAAAUGAACAUUUAGAUAAUUUUGCAUAUAAUUGUUGUUCUUGCAAUACCUGAAAUACCUCCUCCAAAUGUAAAAGAUGGGAAUCCCAAUCCUUGCUCACCACUUGUGAGAAUGGCAAGCUCUUGCAUAUUGGCCUUCCUAUUUUCUUCAAAUUCCAGCGCCUUUAUCUCACAAACCUUGAUUGCAGCACGAAGCUAGUUCAGAAAGAGAGUUGCUAGUGCUUUACUUUCCACAUCUUCAGCAACAAUCAACAAAGAUCAUUGCCUCUGACAAACAUAACAAAUUAUCCAAUAAUUUGAACCCAAUAAAUUGGUCCCUAGAUGUUAAUGACACCCUCUUUGCCGACUUUCUCCAUUGCUUUGGCUAUCAGCUCACUGAUCUCUCUUUCUCCAUUUGCUGAAAUUGUUCCAACCUUUUUAGAAAGGUCAUAUUAGUAGCAUGGUUAAUCAAAUCCAAUGUCUUAAGUCCGUGGCAUUCAUUCCAGCUUCCACAGACUUGCAUCCUUCAACAAAUAUGGCACGGGUGAGGACUGUUGCACAUGUGGUACCAUCGCCUGCCACAUCAUUUGUAGCAUUUGCAACCUGCUUUACAAGGCUAGCCCCUAUGUUCUUGACUCUGUCUUGGAAUUCAAUGCUCUUUGCUACAGUGACACCAUCUUUUGUCACUUUAGGGCCUCCCCAACUUUGUUCCAAAACAACAUUGCGCCCCAGUGGGAAGUCAAAUACAAAAACAAGAACUCAAACGUCUAAACUACACAAUAUUUAAUUGGAGUACGAGGAAUUAAACCCCCUCCUUUUAGCCCCAUAGUCACUUUAACAGCAUCAGCGAGCUCCUCAGCACCUUUAAGCAUCAAAGCGCGAGUUUCAACGCCAAAUUUAAUGUUUUUGGCCGCGUAAUUUCUGCUCCAAGCCAACCUACCGCCAAUCUUCUGAGUACUGUUCUUUGCCUGCUAGCCAACCUAAAAUAAAGGACAACAAAUUACAUAAAAAUGAGAAAGACCCAGAUUGGAAAAUAAUCAAAAGAAGCUAUUUUUGCCAUGCACGGACGCGCGCGCACACACACCGACACUCACAGGUAUUCGGC